This 242-nucleotide unclassified non-coding RNA is filed under the name plant metagenome. Its description in RNAcentral is "partial contains small subunit ribosomal RNA, internal transcribed spacer 1, and 5.8S ribosomal RNA". The stretch from base 1 to 54 matches the Rfam family "Eukaryotic small subunit ribosomal RNA", at positions 1778 to 1831 of the family's 1831-position model. The record is from RNAcentral.
UGAAGUAAAAGUCUUAACAAUGUCUCCGUAGGUGAACCUGCGGAGGGAUCAUUACAGGGUUCGUGCCCUCACGGGUAGAUCUCCCACCCUGUGUUAUUAUACCUUUGUUGCUUUGGCGGGCCGCCCUCGGCUACCGGCCCCGGCUGGUACGCGCCCGCCAGAGGACCCCAAACUCUGAAUGUUAGUGUCGUCUGAGUACCAUACAAUAGUUAAAACUUUCAACAACGGAUCUCUUGGUUCUG